Molecule: ribosomal RNA, 2289 nt
Filed under: Streptococcus agalactiae
Lineage: Bacteria; Bacillati; Bacillota; Bacilli; Lactobacillales; Streptococcaceae
Description: partial 23S ribosomal RNA
Rfam family: Bacterial large subunit ribosomal RNA
Source: RNAcentral
GUUACGAUAUGAUGCGAGGUUAAGUUGAAGAGACGGAGCCGUAGGGAAACCGAGUCUUAAUAGGGCGUCAUAGUAUCAUGUUGUAGACCCGAAACCAUGUGACCUACCCAUGAGCAGGUUGAAGGUGAGGUAAAACUCACUGGAGGACCGAACCAGGGCACGUUGAAAAGUGCUUGGAUGACUUGUGGGUAGCGGAGAAAUUCCAAACGAACUUGGAGAUAGCUGGUUCUCUCCGAAAUAGCUUUAGGGCUAGCGUCGAUGUUAAGUCUCUUGGAGGUAGAGCACUGUUUGGGUGAGGGGUCCAUCCCGGAUUACCAAUCUCAGAUAAACUCCGAAUGCCAACGAGAUAUAAUCGGCAGUCAGACUGCGAGUGCUAAGAUCCGUAGUCGAAAGGGAAACAGCCCAGACCACCAGCUAAGGUCCCAAAAUAUAUGUUAAGUGGAAAAGGAUGUGGGGUUGCACAGACAACUAGGAUGUUAGCUUAGAAGCAGCUAUUCAUUCAAAGAGUGCGUAAUAGCUCACUAGUCGAGUGACCCUGCGCCGAAAAUGUACCGGGGCUAAAACAUAUUACCGAAGCUGUGGAUGACACAAAAGUGUCAUGGUAGGAGAGCGUUCUAUGUGUGAAGAAGGUGUACCGUGAGGAGCGCUGGAACGCAUAGAAGUGAGAAUGCCGGUAUGAGUAGCGCAAGACAGGUGAGAAUCCUGUCCACCGUAAGACUAAGGUUUCCAGGGGAAGGCUCGUCCGCCCUGGGUUAGUCGGGACCUAAGGAGAGACCGAAAGGUGUAUCCGAUGGACAACAGGUUGAUAUUCCUGUACUAGAGUAUAUAGUGAUGGAGGGACGCAGUAGGCUAACUAAACCAGACGAUUGGAAGUGUCUGGUCAAACAGUGAGGUGUGAUAUGAGUCAAAUGCUUAUAUCUUUAACAUUGAGCUGUGACGAGGAGCGAAGUUUAGUAGCGAAGUUAGUGAUGUCACACUGCCAAGAAAAGCUUCUAGCGAUACAUAUACUCUACCCGUACCGCAAACCGACACAGGUAGUCGAGGCGAGUAGCCUCAGGUGAGCGAGAGAACUCUCGUUAAGGAACUCGGCAAAAUGGCCCCGUAACUUCGGGAGAAGGGGCGCUGAUUUUAGAUCAGCCGCAGUGAAUAGGCCCAAGCAACUGUUUAUCAAAAACACAGCUCUCUGCUAAAUCGUAAGAUGAUGUAUAGGGGGUGACGCCUGCCCGGUGCUGGAAGGUUAAGAGGAGUGCUUAGCGUAAGCGAAGGUAUGAAUUGAAGCCCCAGUAAACGGCGGCCGUAACUAUAACGGUCCUAAGGUAGCGAAAUUCCUUGUCGGGUAAGUUCCGACCCGCACGAAAGGCGUAAUGAUUUGGGCACUGUCUCAACGAGAGACUCGGUGAAAUUUUAGUACCUGUGAAGAUGCAGGUUACCCGCGACAGGACGGAAAGACCCCAUGGAGCUUUACUGCAGUUUGAUAUUGAGUAUCUGUACCACAUGUACAGGAUAGGUAGGAGCCUAUGAUAACGGGACGCCAGUUUCGUUUGAGGCGUUGUUGGGAUACUACCCUUGUGUUAUGGCUACUCUAACCCAGAUAGGCAAUCCCUAUCGGAGACAGUGUCUGACGGGCAGUUUGACUGGGGCGGUCGCCUCCUAAAAGGUAACGGAGGCGCCCAAAGGUUCCCUCAGACUGGUUGGAAAUCAGUCGUAGAGUGUAAAGGUAUAAGGGAGCUUGACUGCGAGAGCUACAACUCGAGCAGGGACGAAAGUCGGGCUUAGUGAUCCGGUGGUUCCGUAUGGAAGGGCCAUCGCUCAACGGAUAAAAGCUACCCUGGGGAUAACAGGCUUAUCUCCCCCAAGAGUUCACAUCGACGGGGAGGUUUGGCACCUCGAUGUCGGCUCGUCGCAUCCUGGGGCUGUAGUCGGUCCCAAGGGUUGGGCUGUUCGCCCAUUAAAGCGGCACGCGAGCUGGGUUCAGAACGUCGUGAGACAGUUCGGUCCCUAUCCGUCGCGGGCGUAGGAAAUUUGAGAGGAUCUGCUCCUAGUACGAGAGGACCAGAGUGGACUUACCGCUGGUGUACCAGUUGUCUUGCCAAAGGCAUCGCUGGGUAGCUAUGUAGGGAAGGGAUAAGCGCUGAAAGCAUCUAAGUGCGAAGCCCACCUCAAGAUGAGAUUUCCCAUGAUUUUAUAUCAGUAAGAGCCCUGAGAGAUGAUCAGGUAGAUAGGUUAGGAGUGUAAUUGUGGUGACACAUUUAGCGGACUAAUACUAAUAGCUCGAGGACUUAUCCAAAA